Molecule: ribosomal RNA, 1126 nt
Filed under: Verrucaria viridigrana
Lineage: Eukaryota; Fungi; Ascomycota; Eurotiomycetes; Verrucariales; Verrucariaceae
Description: eukaryotic LSU rRNA
Rfam family: Eukaryotic large subunit ribosomal RNA
Source: RNAcentral
UGGGUCCGAGUUGUAAUUUGUAGAGGAUGCUUCGGGCCAGGCUGCGGUCUAAUUCGCUUGGAACAGCGGGUCAGAGAGGGUGAGAAUCCCGUCCAGGGCUGCGCGCCGCGUCCAUGUGAAGCUCCUUCGACGAGUCGAGUUGUUUGGGAAUGCAGCUCUAAAUGGGUGGUAAAUUUCAUCUAAAGCUAAAUAUUGGCCAGAGACCGAUAGCGCACAAGUAGAGUGAUCGAAAGAUGAAAAGCACUUUGAAAAGAGAGUUAAACAGUAUGUGAAAUUGUUGAAAGGGAAGCGCUUGCAAUCAGACUUGCGUGCGGCGGUUCCCCCGGUCUCUGGACCGGGUCACUCCGCCUUCACCAGGCCAGCAUCGGUUUGGGUGGCCGGUCAAAGGCCCCGGGAAUGUACCUACCCUCGGGUCGACUUAUAGCCCGGGGUGCAAUGCGGCCCGCCCGGACCGAGGAACGCGCUUCGGCUCGGAUGCUGGCGUAAUGGUUGCAAGCGGCCCGUCUUGAAACACGGACCAAGGAGUCUAACAUCUAUGCGAGUGUUUGGGCGUCAAACCCCUACGCGCAAUGAAAGUGAACGGAGGUAAGAGCCCCGCAAGGGGUGCAUUAUCGACCGAUCCUGAUGUCUUCGGAUGGAUUUGAGUAAGAGCAUAGCUGUUGGGACCCGAAAGGUAAAUUCUCCCCCUCUCUUUCCCAAUCCCUCCCUGAGAUUUUCGGGAGCUCCAUCAAAGUCAAUUGGUAUAGAUUUAGAGAAGCCGGGGUUAAGAGGCGGGAUGACUUUGAUGGAUGUUCUCUUGUUUUCAACUUGUCCCCACCCUAAAACUUUAAUGCUAACAUUUGUUUUCUUCUAGAUGGUGAACUAUGCGUGGAUAGGGUGAAGCCAGAGGAAACUCUGGUGGAGGCUCGCAGCGGUUCUGACGUGCAAAUCGAUCGUCAAAUCUGCGCAUAGGGGCGAAAGACUAAUCGAACCGUCUGGUAGCUGGUUCCUGCCGAAGUUUCCCUCAGGAUAGCAGUAACGUCUUCAGUUUUAUGAGGUAAAGCGAAUGAUUAGUGGUCCGGGGAUUGCAACAAUCUUCUCCAAUUCUCAAACUUUAAAUAUGUAAGAAGUCCUUGUUUCUUAACUG